Molecule: ribosomal RNA, 255 nt
Filed under: uncultured bacterium
Lineage: Bacteria
Description: partial 16S ribosomal RNA
Rfam family: Bacterial small subunit ribosomal RNA
Source: RNAcentral
GAUCCUGGCUCAGAUUGAACGCUGGCGGCAGGCUUAACACAUGCAAGUCGAGCGGGGGAGGUUGCUUCGGUAACUGACCUAGCGGCGGACGGGUGAGUAAUGCUUAGGAAUCUGCCUAUUAGUGGGGGACAACAUUCCGAAAGGAAUGCUAAUACCGCAUACGUCCUACGGGGAAAGCAGGGGAUCUUCGGACCUUGCGCUAAUAGAUGAGCCUAAGUCGGAUUAGCUAGUUGGUGGGGUAAAGGCCUACCAAGG